GAGCAAGUAGUUAAAAAAAUCAAUUUAAUUUGUAGUUAAAAAUUAUUAUAAAUAAUCUUCCUAA
This 64-nucleotide transfer RNA is filed under the name Vanhornia eucnemidarum. RNAcentral describes it as "tRNA-Ala". Lineage: Eukaryota; Metazoa; Arthropoda; Insecta; Hymenoptera; Vanhorniidae. The record is from RNAcentral.